UCACCCUUCACCUCUCACCUCAGCAUGGCGGCCUGCUUCUCUUCCUGUCCGCGGUGUCACGCUGCUGCUGCUGAAACUCUUCCGUCUGACCCGAGGCUUCGUCGCACAUUUGGAAACUUAAAGUUCUGGAAACAAGUCGCAGAAAGAGAAAGUGAAUCCUCAGUUUCAAAAAAACCUCCAGAAGAGCUGAGCGGAACCACCUGAGUGUAAAGGAGACUCACCUGCAGCAGCUGAGGACCAAACUCAGUCCACCUGUCCACAUGGUGCAGAUCCGCUGCUUCUCUCCAAAGGAAUCGACCCGGCAACCUGCAGGCCUGAAGUGAAAGCUCAGCCCGAGGUUGGGGCCCCGGCCUCUUAUCAUCUGGUUUCUAUUCUCUUUGCCCUGUCCAAUGAAAUCUGACCUGCUGUAGAGGAGAACUGAAUUAUGGGCCCAUCAACAAAAACCAUAUUCCCCCUUUGAAGUUGCGUACGUGAUGGAAAGUGAACUAUUUUCAAUCUCCCCGUGACUUUAUGUGACCCCCGCUGAGGUAUUCCAGCCGAGCGAGAGGAGGGGGAGGUGGCUGCGUUACAGGAGAAAAGAUUGACUCUGAACAUUCGUGACAAAGGUGGAUAAUUUUACCAGCUGCUGGAUAGUCUGCUCUUGAGUCAUGUGGAGGUGCCUGUAAAGCCUGUGUGUAAUCUUCCUUCCUCCCACUCUUUAAUUGUGCCUCAUGGAACAAGUUGCUUUUGUUAAAGAAAGAAAAAAAGAGAGAGAGAUAGCCUCAGGUUCUUUUGAUCUAACCAGGACAUGAGGGUGAGGUCUGCAUUCAGAGCUUUACUGUCCUGCUGCAUUUUUGUAUAUUUUUUUGCUUUAUCUGAUAUUUUUAACUUUGGAUUGAGACGAGGAAAGACAUUUUCAACAUGUAACAAACAACAGCACACAUAUCAUCUGGAUAGUUUUUCAAAAAAUCUACUGUACAUUUUCUCAGCAUUACAAAGGCAAAGCGUCCUGGCUGAUACCUGCACGUGGACCGUGUCAAUGAAGAUCUCAAGUUUAAGACGCGGCCCUCCGACAGUUCAGAGGGAUCAGAGGUUAUCCCUGCAGCAACAGCUGCCUGUGAUAAUGAGGAACAACACCGCUGCCAUCCUGACUGCACGAGUGAAAAAUACCUCGGCCAUUAAGGAGCCUCACGUGAGGCGAGGAGGGAGGAUGAUCAUCACAGAACGUGGUGAACUGAACCCAACAUCUGCAGUUAUAACGUUAAAGAGGAGCUGGUAGUAAAGGCACUAAGUACAAGUAGGUCCGGACACUUUCCUGAAUUUUUCUAGAGGGGUACAAAGAACAUUUGCCACAAUUAAAUGUCUUAGUGAUCCCAAUACAGCAGGAAAAGAUGAAAGAUUCACUGGGAACAUGCGGUGGACAUGAGACCGGAGGGACACACAGGUAGAAGACGCAGACGACUUGGAAAGACAACAAGACAUUAUAGAUUUUAAACAUCAUGUCCUGCCUCCUGCUCUCCUCAGAUUCCAACUCGUGCCUGAAUGUUUUGGGAGUAACCCUGUUGUCCUGAACGUGUCCGACUCAGACCAGAAUUUAUUUGAAAGACUAACAAAAUGUUUGUCCCCCUAUUUUUCAGACAUUGUCCAGCGUUCAGGUCUGAAAACCGCUGCAUAGAAAUUAAAAGCUCCUGUCGGAUAUAUAUGUGGUUUUUUUUUUGCCUUAUUUUCUUUAAAUCUAUUUAUAUCCAUCGAGCUCGUGUACAUAUGAGCGAAGACACACUUCUCUCAGAACUGCCUUUAUACUGCAGAGUAUCUGUUGACAGAACAAUUGUGUUGUUUCAUUGAUGCAUAGGAGGAGGUGUGAAGAUGUCGUCGGUGAUAUUCAUUACAAGCCGGUGCAUCAGCCCGUCAAAGCUCUCCUUUGUGGAGGGGAUCAAGCCAGAGGCAGGUUAAGUCUUUCCACAGAGACGCCUGUGGUUCGCUCUUCCUCUUCGCUUCCUCCUUUCUUCUUCUUCUGCGUUCUUGAGCAUCUCAUCAGCAGCUCUGCACGAUCUGAGCUGUUGAACUUCACGAGCCCUGGUACUUUCAGCCGAGUCGGAUUCGGCAAUCAUAGAGUAAUCUUUCCAAACAGGAAUUUGUUGAAAGAAAUUUUACCCUGAUACUUUAAUGGGAUUAUUUUCACAUUUAGUUUAAAUAUACGGAUUUCUUUAAACAAAACUUGAUUUAGACUAACACGACUACCAAAGACUCAAGAAUAACUGUGCUAGACAUUUCUAAUUAUUUCCUGAUAUCUCCAUUUAUAUACAAAACAAUGAAUCAGUCAAUUGUUAGUUUAGAUUCAUUAAGAUAAUAGUUUCAGCUGAAUACAUGAUUAUAUCUGCACUGACAGCUGCACAGUUGUAGGUAGAAUUACAGUAACAAGGGGUUUAAUUCAUAGCUGUUAAAAAGUCACCAGGUGUCUCACGACCAUUUAAACCCACAUGAAUGAAAUGAAGGGGAAGUGGUGAGAGAGAUUCCGACAGAGAUAACAUUCAAUCAGAUGCAGAAAGUCUUCAAGUGAGUGACUGAGAGCCGGCAGGGUGUUUCCUGUCCAGCGCAGGUUGUGACCCUGCAGAGCGGAGCAGCUCCUGCAGAAUGAUCCGUCUGUUCAGAGAAACUGCUGAGCCAUCAGAGCCGCCGCCGACCAUCAGACGAAGCUGCCCCGGGACCUUUGACAGGCUCAGAUCAAUCAGCCGACACCGCGGCCGCCUCGAGGGCCGUCUCCCCCGAGAUCGUCCCACCUUGACCAGCAAAGUUCACAGUUUUAAAUUAGACUGUUCCUCCCUAAACUCAAUCAUUUGUCUGUCAUACUGAAAAAAAAAGAAAUGGUUGGAAAAGUUAA
This is a long non-coding RNA of Paralichthys olivaceus (Japanese flounder), 2860 nucleotides long. RefSeq lists it as uncharacterized. The record is from RefSeq and is a predicted model, not a curated record. NCBI's taxonomy places the organism in Eukaryota, Metazoa, Chordata, Actinopteri, Pleuronectiformes, Paralichthyidae.